RNAcentral lists this transfer RNA (77 nucleotides) under Chloroflexi bacterium RBG_16_70_13. RNAcentral describes it as "tRNA-Val". It matches the Rfam family "tRNA". From Rfam's summary of the family: Transfer RNA (tRNA) molecules are approximately 80 nucleotides in length. RNAcentral also lists the same sequence under 3 other names. Lineage: Bacteria; Bacillati; Chloroflexota. The record is from RNAcentral.
GGGCGGUUAGCUCAGCUGGUCAGAGCGCCUCGCUUACACCGAGGAAGUCACUGGUUCGAGUCCAGUACCGCCCACCA